UACGUAGGGGGCGAGCGUUGUCCGGAAUCAUUGGGCGUAAAGCGCGUGUAGGCGGCCCGGUAAGUCCGCUGUGAAAGUCCAGGGCUCAACCCUGGGAUGCCGGUGGAUACUGUCGGGCUCGAGUCCGGAAGAGGCGAGUGGAAUUCCUGGUGUAGCGGUGAAAUGCGCAGAUAUCAGGAGGAACACCAAUGGCGAAGGCAGCUCUCUGGGACGGUACUGACGCUGAGACGCGAAAGCGUGGGGAGCGAACAGG
Molecule: ribosomal RNA, 253 nt
Filed under: uncultured bacterium
Lineage: Bacteria
Description: partial 16S ribosomal RNA
Rfam family: Bacterial small subunit ribosomal RNA
Source: RNAcentral